GAUGAAGAACGUAGUGAAAUGCGAUAAGUAGUGUGAAUUGCAGAAUUCAGUGAAUCAUCGAAUCUUUGAACGCACAUUGCGCCCUUUGGUAUUCCUUAGGGCAUGCCUGUUCGAGCGUCAUUUAAACCUUCAAGCUCAGCUUGGUGAUGGGUGACUGUCCUCCCCUCGCGGGGGGACUCGCCUCAAAAACAUUGGCGGCCGGUACAUUGGCUUCGAGCGCAGCAGAAACGCGGUCUCGAGCCCGGUGGAUCGGCUCCCAUAAGUCUAUUCUUUUAUUUUGACCUCGGAUCAGGUAGGGAUACCCGCUGAACUUAAGCAUAUCAAUAAGCGGAGGA
This 335-nucleotide unclassified non-coding RNA is filed under the name soil metagenome. RNAcentral describes it as "partial contains 5.8S ribosomal RNA, internal transcribed spacer 2, and large subunit ribosomal RNA". The stretch from base 1 to 120 matches the Rfam family "5.8S ribosomal RNA", at positions 35 to 154 of the family's 154-position model. The record is from RNAcentral.